Molecule: ribosomal RNA, 497 nt
Filed under: uncultured bacterium
Lineage: Bacteria
Description: partial 16S ribosomal RNA
Rfam family: Bacterial small subunit ribosomal RNA
Source: RNAcentral
GACGAACGCUGGCGGCGUGCCUAAUACAUGCAAGUAGAACGCUGAAGAGAGGAGCUUGCUCUUCUUGGAUGAGUUGCGAACGGGUGAGUAACGCGUAGGUAACCUGCCUUGUAGCGGGGGAUAACUAUUGGAAACGAUAGCUAAUACCGCAUAACAAUGGAUGACACAUGUCAUUUAUUUGAAAGGGGCAAUUGCUCCACUACAAGAUGGACCUGCGUUGUAUUAGCUAGUAGGUGAGGUAAUGGCUCACCUAGGCGACGAUACAUAGCCGACCUGAGAGGGUGAUCGGCCACACUGGGACUGAGACACGGCCCAGACUCCUACGGGAGGCAGCAGUAGGGAAUCUUCGGCAAUGGGGGCAACCCUGACCGAGCAACGCCGCGUGAGUGAAGAAGGUUUUCGGAUCGUAAAGGUCUGUUGUAAGUCAAGAACGGGUGUGAGAGUGGAAAGUUCACACUGUGACGGUAGCUUACCAGAAAGGGACGGCUAACUACGUG